RNAcentral lists this long non-coding RNA (3925 nucleotides) under Homo sapiens (human). RNAcentral's name for it is "HSALNT0191219". Lineage: Eukaryota; Metazoa; Chordata; Mammalia; Primates; Hominidae. The record is from RNAcentral.
AGAAAACCCAUGUUCAAAAAAGAAGCUAAAAAAAAAGUUGGGGAAGGCCUAAGUCCAUAGACUAUAAUUUUGCCAUAUGUAACUUGGUCUCAGGAGGAGGCAAGUUUUAGUUUUCUUCCACUAGCUUUAGAUGUGCUAUUUUUUCCUGAGGUAUUAGGCAGGUAGCUAUGUUUUAAUCUUUACAGAAAUAGAAAUUUCAAACAUCUUUUUCCUUGAAGUCUUGACAGGAGGACUGGAACAUUUCUACCAAUCUCUAGGUUUGAAGUUAACAAAAAUAAGUAUAGAUAUCUGGUACGUAAUUCAGCAAAUGUUUGUUGAACGAAUGAAUAAACUCAUCAGAUCCUGUGUCGUGUGUGUGUGUGUGAGAGAGAGAGAGAGAUGCCAACACUCCUGGCAUUUUCUCCUUGUCUGCCUUGCACUGGAAAUCAUGAUCUAAACAUCACAGAUUUAAUUUUGUAGGGAUGUAGCUCUGGGUCUUCACUACCUUACUUUUGAGCUUCUUCUCAGAAAGCUUUCAAAACGUGUUUCUUUCGUUCUCCUACAUCUAUCCCAUAUAAUUCAUGUUCAUUGAUUUAUAGAUUUUUGCACAUACAAGACAUUCACAUUAAACCCAAGAAAAACAGACUCUUAAGAUGGCCCAUGGUUGCUAAGUUUCUUCAGAGAAAGUAUGUGAGGGUUAAAAGAGAUUGGGGUUCUAGUGUAUUUGGUAUUUCAGGUCUCAAAACAAGUCAUCAAAAUACAGACUUCCCAGCAGUUUGUCUCCCUUUUUUUCUUGAGUUUUUUAGAUAACUGGACGCUCUAUAUAAACACAUCUCCCUCAGCAAAGUACAUCCCGUUUUUUUCUCAAUAUGUAUUCAUAUUCCCUUCCUUCCUCCCUCUUUAUCAGACCCAUCUUUGCCUACCGUCUUUUAAGGAUUUAAAAUAUUCUCAUUAGAAGAUUUUCCUUCUGUAUGCAUAGAGGAUUUGUUUUUAUUCUAAAUGUAGAGAUUUUCUACUGUUAUAUGUCCUUCCAUUUGUAUUUUAUAGUUUUACAUCCUAAUAUUUAAAGAUAAAGUACUACUUUAAUUUUAGGCUCUAUUAUGUGAGUUCUCAACUCCAACUUCUUACUGCUCAUAAGAGGUACUAAUUAUAUUUAGUUCUUUAGUAUAUGUGUACUUUUUUCCUAUGGAUUAGCACUUUUUGAAUAAUUAGAAUUUUGGUUUUAGGAUGAUGCACUUAGCUUUUAAAGCUUAUAUAUUAAUUGUUCAAAUGUGAAUCUAUAUAAAGCAUAUUGGUGCAGCACAUUUUAAGAUUCUAGAAAACCACAAAAUCUGUUUAUUCAUGUUGAAACAUACAGAACAUAUUCUCCCUAGAUCAGAGUCAAACUUGUGGAGGUAUUUGUAGCAUUUUGGUAACACUCCCUAGAGAAUUUGUAGACUUUGGGGGUGCAUAUUAAGGGAUAACAUACAUGGCUUUUCAGAAUAUUUUCUGAAUAAAGCAGCUUCAGACACCAGAUUUUAGUUUUUGGAUUAGGAAAGAGUGAUGUGUUUUUCCACCCUCCCCUCCCCCACCAACACACACACACAUACCCUCCCCAUCUUUCAGAUAUAGGCCAUCUUGUUUUAUUGGAUGAGCCCCCCAAAAAUACACAGAAAUAUGCUAAAUAUUUCUGUAAACCUUGGAAAGGACUCUGCCAGGAUAUUUAUCUACUCUCCAAAAUAGUGAUUGUGGAAGUGUUUGUAUAGGUCCCUAGCUUUCUACUAAAGCCUAUUUCCAACCAGUCAUAGAUUUUUGUGUGUGUGUGUAUCUACAUGUUAACUAUCUUUGGUAUUCAUUGAGGCCUUUUUUGCUUAUUUAUGGUUAUUCUGCAUUGGCUAAAACAAUGAGUUGCUCUUAUUUGUUUCCAUGCUAUCGAUUUGAUGAUUUGUAAUUCUAGACUUUAAAAUUUAUCUAUAUCUUCACUUUUCUUAGAUCCAUCCUAAGCAGAUUCAUGAACUUUUCAUUAUACCUAUAUCAUAUUAAAAAUAUGAAACCAUAGUAUUCUAGAACUCGGAGGACUUGAAUUUGUUUCUCACAUGAAGAGUUUUUUUUUUUUUGGUAAAGAUUUCCAGGUAUUAAUAUCUUUGUUCUUUAAGAAGCUAGAAUUUUUUUGUGCAGUGUAGGUGCCUUUCUGUCCUUUAUUUAAGCCCCCCCCCCUUUUUAAAUUGUUUUUCAAGAAUUAAAUAAAAUUAGAAUUAUUUAUAGUAGUUGCGAAGCAGGAUAAGCAGUUUAAAAUCCUAUCACAAAAAAUACUACUGAAACAAAAAUAUCUUUGUUAACAAAUAUUUCCAGGUUGUAACAAUAUAAUAUUUGAUAUACGAAUAUUCUACUUCCAUAGAAUUUGGGCAGUCUGUGAGAUUUUUACCUAUCAUGUUUUCCCUCUAAAGGGCAAUUAUAAAAACGCUAGAUUAUCUUCAGGUAUUAGGACUCCUCAUCAUUGGUUUCAGAUGUUAAUUGGCUACACCUUGAUAAAAGGCAGAUAAGUGUUAAUGGCAGUUGGCUGUGAUUUUAUAUUAAGUUUCUGCCUAUUUUAUAGCCAAGAACUUGUGCAUAUUUGUAUAUUGUUUGUUGAUAUUGAAUAUGGAAUUCAGAGAGAAAAUAAGAACUCAAAUUCUAAAUUACUCAGAUCUCCAUUAGGAAAACAGUGCCUGAGAAACACUUUUUCCCCCUUCUCAGGUACUGUAUAUCUUGCAGUUAGCAGUCUUCAUCUUGUAUAAUGCAAGCAGACUACAAACUCUGUAGCUGGGAGUGAAAAUUUGUUACUCAGUAUGAAGCAGUGAAUGAGACAAUUGAUUUUAUCGUGUGACACCUGUACCAACAUGUUAGCAGUAAAACUCCUCCCUACAUUAGAGAAUCUACAAUAAAAAGUUGCUACUAGGGAAUUGUUUUUGUUUUAACACAAGUUCUAGAUGUGCCCUACAUAUGUAAUGCUAUAAUGUCUACAUUAGAGCUAUUAUAAUGAAAUUAAGAGUUUGGUUAUAAUUAUCCUAAUUCCUUGAAAGGUUAAAUUGUGUUCACUAUACUUAAGUACCUAAAAAUGUUAGUUCUUUGGGAACAUGGAAACCAGGUAUAUAUAGCUUUUAGUAGUUAUUUCUACUUAUCUGAAGCCCUCCUUGGAUAAUAAUUUUUUUUUGUUUUCAUUUUUGAGACGUGGUCUCACUCUGUCACCCAGGCUGGACUGCAGUGGCGUCAUCUUGGCUCACUGCAACCUCCGCCUCCCAAGUUCAAGUGAUUCUCCUGCCUCGGCCUCCAAGUAGCUGGGACUACAGGGAGAAGAUGGGUAUAGUUUAACCCUUUCAUAUCAUCCAUCCAUCCAUUCCUACUAGUUCUGCCUCAGAGUAUAUCCUUUAUUCAACUACUACUCACCACCCUAUUAGGCCAUCAUUAUCUAUCACUGGCCUCCUAAUGCAUUUUCCUGCUUUCGUUUUAUACCCUCUUUAGCCCAUUCCUCAUGGAGUAGCUAGGACCUUUAAAAAAAAAAAAAAGCCAAAUUAAGUUACUCUUAAGCUUCGCCUAAAUCCUCUCUUGAUUUCCCGUCUAACAAAGAAUAAAAUCCAAAGUCUCUCAGGCUCUCGAGGUGUACUAUAUGGUCUAGCCCCAACCAGUCUCUCUGACAUGAGUUCCUACCCUUCACCACCUAAGUUCAUGCUGCCUGAGCCAUACCAGUGAGGGGUUUACUGACCCUCUGAACUGACUGCUUUUCCUUCAAGCAUUUGCCUGGUCAGUUACUUCUCUGCUUGUUUUCAUCUCAGUUUUAUGUUCCCUGAUUAUUUUUAAAUACUUCCUACCCUGUUCCAUCAUUCUAUGUAGAAUAAAGGACGGGCACUUUAAAAUUAAAUAAAUCUAGCUUUAUGAAAAACCUGUGUUGUCUUUUUCUCUUGUGAUUUUGCCAUGGAUUAGAAUUGUC